Molecule: ribosomal RNA, 411 nt
Filed under: Nassarius livescens
Lineage: Eukaryota; Metazoa; Mollusca; Gastropoda; Neogastropoda; Nassariidae
Description: partial 16S ribosomal RNA
Rfam family: Bacterial large subunit ribosomal RNA
Source: RNAcentral
CUGACCGUGCAAAGGUAGCAUAAUCAUUUGCCUUAUAAUUGAAGGCUAGUAUGAAUGGUUUGACAAGAAUGAAGCUGUCUCUUUAUAAUUUAAUAAAAUUUUAUUUUUAGGUGAAGAAGCCUAAGUAAAAUUAAAAGACAAGAAGACCCUAUCGAGCUUAAAAAAAAUUAAUAGAAUUAAAUCAAUUAAUAUUGAUAAAAAAUUAUCUAUUAAAUAUUUUAGUUGGGGCGACUGAGGAACAUAAAAAGCUUCCUUUAAAUAUAUUAACUAAAGUCGAAUUAGAAAUGAUCCAAAAUUAUUUUGAUUAAAGGAAUUAGUUACCGUAGGGAUAACAGCAUUAUCUUUUUUAAGAGCUCAUAUCGAAAAAAAGGUUUGUGACCUCGAUGUUGGACCAGAAUAUCCUAAAGGUGC